UGGCUCAGGAUGAACGCUAGCGGCAGGCUUAACACAUGCAAGUCGAGGGGUAACGAUGGUGCUUGCACCAGGCGACGACCGGCGGACGGGUGAGUAACACGUAUGCAAUUUGCCUUUAACUGGAGGAUAGCUUCGGGAAACCGUAAUUAAUACUCCAUAGUAUUCAAAAGACGCAUGUUUUUUGAAUUAAAGCUCCGGCGGUUAAAGAUGAGCAUGCGGGACAUUAGCUAGUUGGUAAGGUAACGGCUUACCAAGGCGACGAUGUCUAGGGGGUUUGAGAGGAUGAUCCCCCACACUGGUACUGAGACACGGACCAGACUCCUACGGGAGGCAGCAGUGAGGAAUAUUGGGCAAUGGGCGCAAGCCUGACCCAGCCAUGCCGCGUGCAGGAUGAAGGUCCUAUGGAUCGUAAACUGCUUUUGUAUGGGAAGAACUUCCCGCAUUCGUGCGGGAUUGACGGUACUAUACGAAUAAGGACCGGCUAACUCCGUGCCAGCAGCCGCGGUAAUACGGAGGGUCCAAGCGUUAUCCGGAUUCACUGGGUUUAAAGGGUGCGUAGGUGGAACGAUAAGUCGAUGGUGAAAGCCUACAGCUUAACUGUAGAAUUGCCAUUGAUACUGUUGUUCUUGAGUAUAGUCGGGGGAAGUGGAAUGCGUAAUGUAGCGGUGAAAUGCAUAGAUAUUACGCAGAACACCGAUCGCGAAAGCAGCUUCCUAGGCUAUUACUGACACUGAGGCACGAAAGCGUGGGGAGCGAACAGGAUUAGAUACCCUGGUAGUCCACGCCGUAAACGAUGCUCACUCGCUGUUGGCGAUAUAUUGUCAGCAGUUAAGCUAAAGCAUUAAGUGAGCCACCUGGGAAGUACGUCCGCAAGGAUGAAACUCAAAGGAAUUGACGGGGGCCCGCACAACCGGUGGAACAUGUGGUUCAAUUCGAUGAUACGCGAGGAACCUUACCUGGGCUUAAAUGUAGUUUGACUUCCGCCGAAAGGCGGUUUUCCUUCGGGACAAAUUACAAGGUGCUGCACGGCUGUCGUCAGCUCGUGCCGUGAGGUAUCGGGUUAAGUCCCUUAACGAGCGCAACCCCUAUUGUUAGUUACCAACAGGUUAAGCUGGGGACUCUAGCAAAACUGCCAGCGUAAGCUGGAGGAAGGUGGGGAUGACGUCAAGUCAGCAUGGCCCUUAUGUCCAGGGCUACACACGUGUUACAAUGGCCGAUACAAAGGGCAGCCACCACGCGAGUGGGAGCUAAUCCUUAAAAUCGGUCUCAGUUCGGAUCGAAGUCUGCAAUUCGACUUCGUGAAGGUGGAAUCGGUAGUAAUCGCGCAUCAGCAAUGGCGCGGUGAAUACGUUCCCGGGCCUUGUACACACUGCCCGUCAAGCCAUGGAAAUUGGUGUUGCCUGAAGUCCGUAACCAUCCAGGAGCGGCCUAAGGCAAAACUGAUAACUGGGGCUAAGUCGU
This 1461-nucleotide ribosomal RNA is filed under the name uncultured organism. RNAcentral's name for it is "bacterial SSU rRNA". It matches the Rfam family "Bacterial small subunit ribosomal RNA". The record is from RNAcentral.